UAUUGGCUAGGUUCAUCAUAAUGUAGAUAAGAUAUUUCUUCAACAGUAGGAGGCGUACUUGAAGAAGGGGCGACCUCAGAUUCUACUGCUUCAUUUUCGGCUUUAAAGGUUCCUUGUGGAAAAGAAAACUCGUUCGCCGUAUUUAAAGAAACUGACACCGAUACAUUAUUAGAAGAAAUCGUAUCUGAAGAAGAUUGUCUCGCUGUGUCCGAACUUUCAUCCCCUGAAGAAGAAUCACUGGUUGACGAUAGGUCACUUGAAUCUGAAACUGAGCUUGAAGAUUCGGAAGAGGAUGAGUCAGAUUCCGAAGGAGUUGAAUUCUUUGAUUGAGAAGUCAACAAUGAAUUGAGCUCUGGUUGCUGUACUAUUGAAGCUGAAACGAAUUCUUGGUGCAAUGAUAAAUCGGAAGCAGAAAUUUGCUUAGCAU
Molecule: non-coding RNA, 427 nt
Organism: Schizosaccharomyces pombe (fission yeast)
Lineage: Eukaryota; Fungi; Ascomycota; Schizosaccharomycetes; Schizosaccharomycetales; Schizosaccharomycetaceae
Source: the annotation of a GenBank genome assembly